GAUUAUUUCACAAUAAAAAUAAGUAAUGUAUGCUACACUAUAGAUGCACAAUGACUAAGAGUGAUAUAAAGAAAAUGUGGUUCACACUGUCUUCACUGCACAGCAUUACAGCAAAGGCAGCAUGCUAUUCUUUACAUUGUGUAGACUCAUUCACUAUGUUCCGUUUGUUUAUUUUCUUCUCGACUCCAAAUAAAUUUUGCGUUGAGGACAAGUUUGUCCAUAUUGGUGAAAGUUCAUAAGGUGGGGAGUGUCUGUAUAUUGACUCAAACAAUUUCUGUUAAACUUAUCAUCUGUAAUAAAAAAUAAAAAAUAUUGAUAUUAAAAUUAUGACAUCAAAUAUUCUAAGAAACAAGAUAAGAUUUGUAAAUUAUAAACUGACAUUUAUCAAC
This 389-nucleotide long non-coding RNA is filed under the name Androctonus crassicauda. Lineage: Eukaryota; Metazoa; Arthropoda; Arachnida; Scorpiones; Buthidae. The record is from RNAcentral.